GAUGACUUGUGGCUGGGGGUGAAAGGCCAAUCAAACCGGGAGAUAGCUGGUUCUCCCCGAAAGCUAUUUAGGUAGCGCCUCGUGAAUUCAUCUCCGGGGGUAGAGCACUGUUUCGGCAAGGGGGUCAUCCCGACUUACCAACCCGAUGCAAACUGCGAAUACCGGAGAAUGUUAUCACGGGAGACACACGGCGGGUGCUAACGUCCGUCGUGAAGAGGGAAACAACCCAGACCGCCAGCUAAGGUCCCAAAGUCAUGGUUAAGUGGGAAACGAUGUGGGAAGGCCCAGACAGCCAGGAUGUUGGCUUAGAAGCAGCCAUCAUUUAAAGAAAGCGUAAUAGCUCACUGGUCGAGUCGGCCUGCGCGGAAGAUGUAACGGGGCUAAACCAUGCACCGAAGCUGCGGCAGCGACACUGUGUGUUGUUGGGUAGGGGAGCGUUCUGUAAGCCUGCGAAGGUGUGCUGUGAGGCAUGCUGGAGGUAUCAGAAGUGCGAAUGCUGACAUAAGUAACGAUAAAGCGGGUGAAAAGCCCGCUCGCCGGAAGACCAAGGGUUCCUGUCCAACGUUAAUCGGGGCAGGGUGAGUCGACCCCUAAGGCGAGGCCGAAAGGCGUAGUCGAUGGGAAACAGGUUAAUAUUCCUGUACUUGGUGUUACUGCGAAGGGGGGACGGAGAAGGCUAUGUUGGCCGGGCGACGGUUGUCCCGGUUUAAGCGUGUAGGCUGGUUUUCCAGGCAAAUCCGGAAAACCAAGGCUGAGGCGUGAUGACGAGGCACUACGGUGCUGAAGCGACAAAUGCCCUGCUUCCAGGAAAAGCCUCUAAGCAUCAGGUAACAUCAAAUCGUACCCCAAACCGACACAGGUGGUCAGGUAGAGAAUACCAAGGCGCUUGAGAGAACUCGGGUGAAGGAACUAGGCAAAAUGGUGCCGUAACUUCGGGAGAAGGCACGCUGAUAUGUAGGUGAAGCGACUUGCUCGUGGAGCUGAAAUCAGUCGAAGAUACCAGCUGGCUGCAACUGUUUAUUAAAAACACAGCACUGUGCAAACACGAAAGUGGACGUAUACGGUGUGACGCCUGCCCGGUGCCGGAAGGUUAAUUGAUGGGGUUAGCGGCAACGCGAAGCUCUUGAUCGAAGCCCCGGUAAACGGCGGCCGUAACUAUAACGGUCCUAAGGUAGCGAAAUUCCUUGUCGGGUAAGUUCCGACCUGCACGAAUGGCGUAAUGAUGGCCAGGCUGUCUCCACCCGAGACUCAGUGAAAUUGAACUCGCUGUGAAGAUGCAGUGUACCCGCGGCAAGACGGAAAGACCCCGUGAACCUUUACUAUAGCUUGACACUGAACAUUGAGCCUUGAUGUGUAGGAUAGGUGGGAGGCUUUGAAGUGUGGACGCCAGUCUGCAUGGAGCCGACCUUGAAAUACCACCCUUUAAUGUUUGAUGUUCUAACGUUGGCCCCUAAUCGGGGUUGCGGACAGUGUCUGGUGGGUAGUUUGACUGGGGCGGUCUCCUCCUAAAGAGUAACGGAGGAGCACGAAGGUUGGCUAAUCCUGGUCGGACAUCAGGAGGUUAGUGCAAUGGCAUAAGCCAGCUUGACUGCGAGCGUGACGGCGCGAGCAGGUGCGAAAGCAGGUCAUAGUGAUCCGGUGGUUCUGAAUGGAAGGGCCAUCGCUCAACGGAUAAAAGGUACUCCGGGGAUAACAGGCUGAUACCGCCCAAGAGUUCAUAUCGACGGCGGUGUUUGGCACCUCGAUGUCGGCUCAUCACAUCCUGGGGCUGAAGUAGGUCCCAAGGGUAUGGCUGUUCGCCAUUUAAAGUGGUACGCGAGCUGGGUUUAGAACGUCGUGAGACAGUUCGGUCCCUAUCUGCCGUGGGCGCUGGAGAACUGAGGGGGGCUGCUCCUAGUACGAGAGGACCGGAGUGGACGCAUCACUGGUGUUCGGGUUGUCAUGCCAAUGGCACUGCCCGGUAGCUAAAUGCGGAAGAGAUAAGUGCUGAAAGCAUCUAAGCACGAAACUUGCCCCGAGAUGAGUUCUCCCUGAGACUUAGAGUCUCCUGAAGGAACGUUGAAGACGACGACGUUGAUAGGCCGGGUGUGUAAGCGCAGCGAUGCGUUGAGCUAACCGGUACUAAUGAACCGUGAGGCUUAACCUUA
This 2147-nucleotide ribosomal RNA is filed under the name Escherichia coli. Its description in RNAcentral is "partial 23S ribosomal RNA". It matches the Rfam family "Bacterial large subunit ribosomal RNA", at positions 803 to 2925 of the family's 2925-position model. Lineage: Bacteria; Pseudomonadati; Pseudomonadota; Gammaproteobacteria; Enterobacterales; Enterobacteriaceae. The record is from RNAcentral.